Molecule: ribosomal RNA, 374 nt
Filed under: uncultured organism
Description: partial 16S ribosomal RNA
Rfam family: Bacterial small subunit ribosomal RNA
Source: RNAcentral
AGAGGGUGCGAGCGUUAAUCGGAUUUACUGGGCGUAAAGCGUGCGUAGGCGGCUUCUUAAGUCGGAUGUGAAAUCCCUGAGCUUAACUUAGGAAUUGCAUUCGAUACUGGGAAGCUAGAGUAUGGGAGAGGAUGGUAGAAUUCCAGGUGUAGCGGUGAAAUGCGUAGAGAUCUGGAGGAAUACCGAUGGCGAAGGCAGCCAUCUGGCCUAAUACUGACGCUGAGGUACGAAAGCAUGGGGAGCAAACAGGAUUAGAUACCCUGGUAGUCCCAUGCCCGUAAACGAUGUCUACUAGCCCGUUGGGGGCCUUUGAGGCUUUAGUGGCGCAGCUAACGCGAUAAGUAGACCGCCUGGGGAGUACGGUCGCAAGACUA